The submitters of this non-coding RNA (539 nucleotides) gave its source as unclassified sequences. The record is from Rfam.
AUUUUAGUGAAUAUAUACUAUUAUCUCAGUGAAAACAUAAUUUCGCAGAUUAUGCUGAGGUAUACUGAAAUGGUCGGUAGUAUACGAAACAAGGAUACUUGUGGAAACUACCGUUUUUUAUGCAGUGAUGUUUAAAAAGAAUCAAUAAAUCAAAGGUGUAGCACUAUUAUAAUCGCAGAUAAAAGCAACUAUCGCUUCGGUAACGCAAUAGACGCAUCAGACGAUGAAGAAUCCAAGUUAGGAAAUUAGCUGGUUACUAAUUUCACACCUUGGAAAUACCAUAAGUUAUUUCGCUGUGAAGCAAGGAAACUUGUGUAUAAGAUGUGUAUAGGUUCUAAGUAGGCAAAGGCGAGAAAAAUUAAUGAUAAUGAAUUGUUGCUGAAAGGUGUAGGUAAUCAUUCUUAUCAAGGCUUGAAAUUAUUUGUGGCAGGAAUGUUAUAAGGUCGCUACUUAUAGCACAUACCUGUUUCCCUUGUGGCUGAAUAUAUCUGAAGAUUGUAUUUAGUAGAAUGAAGAUUCAAUAGUAUAUGUUCAAUAAA